AUCAGCCAGCAUUACUAACCUGUCACUGGAUAGAUCUGGUUCUCCUAUGGUACCUUCAUAUGAGACAUCUGUCAGUCCCCAGGCUAACCGAACAUAUGUUAGGACAGAGACCACUGAGGAUGAACGCAAAAUUCUUCUGGACAGUGUGCAGUUAAAAGACCUGUGGAAAAAAAUCUGCCAUCACAGCAGUGGAAUGGAGUUUCAGGAUCACCGCUACUGGUUGAGAACGCAUCCCAACUGCAUUGUAGGAAAGGAAUUAGUCAACUGGCUAAUCCGAAAUGGGCAUAUUGCCACAAGGGCACAAGCUAUAGCAAUUGGACAAGCAAUGGUUGAUGGACGUUGGCUGGAUUGUGUUAGUCAUCACGACCAGCUUUUCAGAGAUGAGUAUGCGCUGUAUAGACCACUGCAGGUACUUUUCUGUGUUUACUGCCAAUUAGAAUGUAGCAAGCUUAUUUUAUAGUCUUUCUUCAUCAGUGGGAAUAAAAAGUAGUUUAUUAGAAGAUGAUUUUUCUAACAUUUUUUCCUGCUGUUUGAGGAAAGUUAAAACUUUUUUUACUUGGUAGGCAGCAGUGAUGAAAAAGCUGCCAUUAGAAUCAAACAUUUUAUUGUUUACUUUAAAUUUGAUCAGACAAUAAA
RNAcentral lists this small RNA (636 nucleotides) under Pan troglodytes (chimpanzee). RNAcentral's name for it is "retained intron". The record is from RNAcentral. Lineage: Eukaryota; Metazoa; Chordata; Mammalia; Primates; Hominidae.